Molecule: ribosomal RNA, 114 nt
Filed under: Pseudoalteromonas arctica
Lineage: Bacteria; Pseudomonadati; Pseudomonadota; Gammaproteobacteria; Alteromonadales; Pseudoalteromonadaceae
Also listed under: 2 other names
Description: partial 23S ribosomal RNA
Rfam family: Bacterial large subunit ribosomal RNA
Source: RNAcentral
GUUGUAUGGUUAAGUGACUAAGCGUACACGGUGGAUGCCUUGGCAGUUGGAGGCGAUGAAGGACGUAUUAACUUGCGAUAAGCCUAGUCAAGCUAGUAAAAAGCACUUGAGACU